Long non-coding RNA from Polistes dominula (European paper wasp), 3571 nucleotides. Lineage: Eukaryota; Metazoa; Arthropoda; Insecta; Hymenoptera; Vespidae. The record is from RefSeq and is a predicted model, not a curated record.
UUAAAUAUUUCUUCUCUUCAUUGAAAUUCAAUAGAGUCGAUUAUAUUAAUUAAUUCGAUAAUCGAUGAACGAUGGCACCACCGGUAAUAAUACGACUUUAAUCAAAUUUUUGUGAAAACCAAUCAGAUUAAUUGCAAGAUUCAAUCUUAUUGGUUAACCAAUAAAAAUUAAGAAAUCAUUUCGAAAUGCGAGUGAUCUUAUUGGUUCAUUUUAAUUUGAAUGUUUCAUUGGAUUAAUUAGGACAAUUACAGUAUACUUUAUGGUGUAAUAAUAUUCAAACUUACUUUGGAAAAAUCGGUUGCUUCUCGGAUAAACUUUGUCUUCUUCUGUCUCUGUAACCAAUAUCCCUGUAAUUUGAAAAUGAUUGAAUUAGCAUUUACGAAUAGAACGUGGGUGUUAUUCUCAAUGGGAGUGACACUUUUACCAAGAUGUCAAUCUAGGAUAACAAUAUUGUUAAUAAAGUAUGGCACCAGAAAGUAACCACUCUAAAUUUUGGUGUUAGACACGGAAGACAAGUUGAACUAGUUAUUAAAUUCGAUAUGCAUAUGGAGGUUGUAUAAAUUGAAGUACGUUCGGUUCAUUCAUUCAUUACUUGAAUCUUAAUAAAGCUUUCUCUAUCAAGUACAUUGGAAUACUUGAUACAUGUUAAUUAUGUCAUUGAAUUUAUUUUCAACAUCUAUAUUAUUGCUACUAAUAUUAACGGGGAUAUUUUAAUAUGGUAAUCCAAGACAUACGUGUUUAAUACUGUGUGUAUUAGAACAACAAAGUUUAGGCAAACUUAUGUUAGAAAAUACUUUGCAUGGUGGUGGAUAAAACUCCUGUUAUAAACAACUGUUUUUCGUGAGAAUUAAGAAGAGAAAGAUGUUAAGAUCUUGCGAUCUUGAUUUUUUCGUGGCAAAGGAUCACAAAGGGUCACUCGAGCGAGUCUAAGAUCUUGAGAAAAAUCCAAAUGAGCGAAUAACAACGGAACCUGUUCUAACGAUCGGACUGCUACUUCAUUAUGUUUGAAAAAAUAAAAGGAAGAAGAUAAGAGAGAGAGAAAGAGAAAUAUUAUACGAUUUUACGAUGGCGAGAAGAUCAUCUUUAAAUGAAGAAGAUUUGGCAAGAUACGUUUUAUUAAGUGCGGAUCUAAUUGACAAGUUCGAUCCAAGCAACAAUGAGUUUAAUCGGUGGCAGCCGAAAUUUAUUAAAACGAUGGAAGUACUUAAUGUUCCCGAAUAUAUGAAAGUGCCUUUCUUAUUAGAAUUAGUUGAACCACAUGUUUUAGUCGAAGUUAGAAAUAUAACAGGUGUAAAUGAGCUCCAGGAGUUAACAUAUGAAAAGCUUGCAAGUUUAUUGCAAAGUCUUUUCAAAUAUAUUACACUAGACGUUUUGUUUACUAAAACAUUCUACAACCGAACCCAAAAAGCGAAUGAAGGAGCAGUGAAAUUUUUGAAAUCGCUUCAAGAGAUUGCAGAUAUUUGCAAAUUUAAUGCCCUUAGAGAUGAGUUCAUAAUAUCACAAUUUAUAAAAGGUAUGAGAUGCAAAGAUGUACAAGUUAUUAUUAGGAAAAUAAUGACCAUCCUAAGUAUCAAAGACAUGGAACGUAUUGCCGAAGCAAUAGACAAAUAUGAACAAUCAGAGUCGAAAAAUGAUGGACAAUGUUUAUCCUCUGUUUUACAACAACUUAACAUUCCUUUCAACUAAUUUUUUUCUACUAAAUAUUAUAAGAUGUUUUAUUAAAUAUUGUAUUAUUUGGUGCUACAUUGAACACUUUGAGUAGAAUUUGAUUUAUCGUUUAAUAGGUAGGAUAAUAAGUAAGAAAGAAGGUGUAGUACUCAAACGAUCGAUCACUCUCUCACGUUGGAAUUAUCGAAGGUAUCAAAUCGCAAUGGUGGUGGUGGUGGUGGUGGUGGUGCCUCGUUGGUGCCUCGUUGAUGCCGAAGCGUGGCCCCCAUGAGAGUCGAAAAGCAGCCUCGGGAAAAGAGAAGCUUGUUGUAGACAGUGUCGAUGGGGCUUUUGCUAGUAGGAGGAUCCAACCCAUUAGUUACCUUAGCCGCUCGUCAAACAUGCCUCGUCUGCAUACGUAAUGUGAGUUCAUAAUGUUGAACCACGUCUCACGUCUCACGUCUCACGUCUCACGUCUCACGUCUAGCGCCUAAAAUCUACUUUGUUUCUUUUUAUAUUCUUUCAUUCAUAAUUACAACUACCAACAUACUUAAAUUACAUAAAGCAUAAUUAAUUACCAAAUGUCCAAGUGAAAGUUCAUUUAUGUAAAUUUAACUUUCAAAUUCUUCAUCAAUCACAUUGAAACAUUUUGAAUCAUGUAUUUCCUGUUUUUCUCCUUAACUAGAUCUUUGAAACUUAAUCAAAAACUAUAGAUACACUUUUUAUCUACAUAUGUUACGUAGCUACUUUAUUAUGAGUACUACAUACAAAUACACAUAUACACACACACACAUAUAUAUAUAUAUAUACAUACAUUAUCUAUAUACGAUCUAACCUCAUUAUCUUUCCAAGUUUCAUUUAUUUUUACAUCGUUAACGCGACACGUGUACUACAAUUAUACAGGGUGUCUUAAAAGAAACUAGUCCAAAAAUUGUUAACCAUUUCACUUGUUGAUUGUUGUAUAUUUCUGUUGAUUGUUGUCUCGCUAAAUUUCAGGACACCCUAUGCGUAAAUAUAUAAUUUAACUAUAGUUAGGAAUGACGGAAGACGUUCAAUAAAGAUAAUUGUAGAUCUUAACGAUUUAUUCCAAGACCUCGGAUCUCUGUCACUGUGCAUCUACCAUACAUGUAACCAAUCGAUUAUGGUAUUUACUAGAUUGUAACUGCUAUGGUAAAAAUUGGACUCGAUAUCGAUUGCUUCAUGACUACCUCAGGAUGAUAUAAUUUGACGUUCCUUUCCAUGAUUUAUUAUAACGAUUCUCUAACUUCAUCCUCUUCUAACUUUUAUUCAAAGAUAAUCUUUGUCGGUACUAUAAUCUCAAGCCCUUUUUCCUAUCGUACAUGAAAAUCUAAGCGGGAUUCGUUCGAUCAUGAUCAACUACAAUUCCCCCAUAGAUUGCGAACAUUAUAUAUCUUCAAUUUGAUUUAUUUUUAUUUGAUCUAUUAAUUUUUUGUCUUUAAAAAUCGUUUUUUAUACUAAGACGUUUCAAUCUAUUGCGUGAAUUAUUCUACAAGAUAUUUAUACUUUUGCAAAUGAUUAUAAGUUUCUUCUAUGAUUUUUCAUUUUUUUUUUUUUUUAUAUCAAAAUAAUAUUUAAAAUCGAUGAUACCCUUCAACCUGAAUAUAUUCUAUAAUAUUUCAAAGAAGUCGUGAUAAAUAUCCUUGAUAAUUCUACCAUAUGAGAGAUAAUAUGUUGAAGAUGUGCUCAAGUAUUCAUUUCGAUGAAAUUGUAACACGCCAGUAUUAAAUUCAUCGAUCCUAUUUUUCUAAAUAAUAAAUUAUACUUGACAGAAAAAUACUACAGAUAGAAGAAAUAAUCAGAACAAUUUUGUUCAUUUUAUAAUACCCUAAGUAGAAAAUUAUAAUUAAACACGAACGAUUGAACUAUGUUGAAUGAAAAGUCAUGAAAAUAACAUUUAUACUAA